GGGGAAUUGAAGGACAAGAGGCGGAUCUUAGCAGCAACAUCGCCGAGUAUUCUAAGCUCGACGCGGUCGUUCAACGAGGCAUCACGGAUCAAAUCGGCAGCGUCAGCCUGAAGGAGAUUAACGCGAUCGACGGCGAUGGUAGCAUCGACCUGGCGCUGGCUGUGAGGGUCUUGAAAGAAUCCAGGAACGGAGGCUCUCCCAAGCGGAAUUCCUCGGUACAUAACCGU
RNAcentral lists this unclassified non-coding RNA (227 nucleotides) under Hevea brasiliensis (rubber tree). Lineage: Eukaryota; Viridiplantae; Streptophyta; Magnoliopsida; Malpighiales; Euphorbiaceae. The record is from RNAcentral.